Molecule: ribosomal RNA, 342 nt
Filed under: uncultured Pseudomonadota bacterium
Lineage: Bacteria; Pseudomonadati; Pseudomonadota
Description: bacterial SSU rRNA
Rfam family: Bacterial small subunit ribosomal RNA
Source: RNAcentral
AAUGAACGCUGGCGGCGUGCUUAACACAUGCAAGUCGCACGAGAAUUCUUCUGCUUGCAGAAGAUAGUAAAGUGGCGCACGGGUGAGUAAUGCGUGGGCAAUCUUCCCUUGAAUCGGGGAUAACAUCGCGAAAGCUUUGCUAAUACCGGAUAAUAUCCAUAGGUCUGAGGGCGUAUGGAUCAAAGGUGGCCUCUACAUGUAAGCUACUGUUUGAGGAUGAGCCUGCGUACCAUUAGCUAGUUGGCGGGGUAACGGCCCACCAAGGCGACGAUGGUUAGCUGGUCUGAGAGGAUGAUCAGCCACACUGGAACUGACACACGGUCCAGACUCCUACGGGUGCAG